This 467-nucleotide ribosomal RNA is filed under the name uncultured bacterium. RNAcentral describes it as "partial 16S ribosomal RNA". It matches the Rfam family "Bacterial small subunit ribosomal RNA", at positions 330 to 793 of the family's 1533-position model. The record is from RNAcentral.
CCCAGACUCCUACGGGAGGCAGCAGUGAGGAAUAUUGGUCAAUGGGCGAGAGCCUGAACCAGCCAAGUCGCGUGAGGGAGUACUGCCCUAUGGGCUGUAAACCUCUUUUGUCGGGGAGCAAAAGCCGGACGUGUCCGGCUGUGAGAGUACCCGAAGAAAAAGCAUCGGCUAACUCCGUGCCAGCAGCCGCGGUAAUACGGAGGAUGCGAGCGUUAUCCGGAUUUACUGGGUGUAAAGGGCGUGUAGCCGGGCCGGCAAGUCAGAUGUGAAAUCCCAAGGCUCAACCUUGGAACUGCAUUUGAAACUGUUGGUCUUGAGUAUCGGAGAGGCAGGCGGAAUUCCUAGUGUAGCGGUGAAAUGCGUAGAUAUUAGGAGGAACACCAGUGGCGAAGGCGGCCUACUGGACGGCAACUGACGCUGAGGCUCGAAAGCGUGGGGAGCAAACAGGAUUAGAUACCCCGGUACAG